This 50-nucleotide ribosomal RNA is filed under the name Parahypoxylon papillatum. Its description in RNAcentral is "Hypoxylon papillatum partial 28S ribosomal RNA". Lineage: Eukaryota; Fungi; Ascomycota; Sordariomycetes; Xylariales; Hypoxylaceae. The record is from RNAcentral.
GGUUGACCUCGGAUUAGGUAGGAAUACCCGCUGAACUUAAGCAUAUCAUA